This 59-nucleotide transfer RNA is filed under the name Loxodonta africana (African savanna elephant). The record is from Rfam by way of RNAcentral. Lineage: Eukaryota; Metazoa; Chordata; Mammalia; Proboscidea; Elephantidae.
AGUGGUUUAGUGUUUGGCUGCUAACCAAAAGGUCGACAGUUCGAAUCUACCAGCCACUC